Molecule: RNase P RNA, 132 nt
Filed under: Desulfosarcina sp.
Lineage: Bacteria; Pseudomonadati; Thermodesulfobacteriota; Desulfobacteria; Desulfobacterales; Desulfosarcinaceae
Description: partial RNase P RNA component class A
Rfam family: Bacterial RNase P class A
About the family: Ribonuclease P (RNase P) is a ubiquitous endoribonuclease, found in archaea, bacteria and eukarya as well as chloroplasts and mitochondria. Its best characterised activity is the generation of mature 5'-ends of tRNAs by cleaving the 5'-leader elements of precursor-tRNAs.
Source: RNAcentral
GGAGUAGACCAGGCGGUCGCUGGCUCCUUUUCUGGAGCUGGAGGAAAGUCCGAACACCACAGGGCAGGGUGCUCCAUAACAUGGAGUCGCGGCGACGCGAAGGAAAGUGCAACAGAAAGCAGACCGCCCCGC